UACGUAGGUGGCAAGCGUUGUCCGGAGUUAUUGGGCGUAAAGCGCGCGCAGGCGGUGCGGAUAAGUCUAUGGUGAAAGCGCUCGGCUUAACUGGGCGAGGGCCGUGGAGACUGCCGGACUGGAGGGGAGCAGAGGCGAGUGGAAUUCCGGGUGUAGUGGUGAAAUGCGUAGAGAUCCGGAGGAACACCAGUGGCGAAGGCGGCUCGCUGGGCUCAACCUGACGCUGAGGCGCGAAAAGCGUGGGGGAGCGAACCGGGAUUAGAAACCCCCGGU
RNAcentral lists this ribosomal RNA (273 nucleotides) under uncultured bacterium. RNAcentral's name for it is "partial 16S ribosomal RNA". It matches the Rfam family "Bacterial small subunit ribosomal RNA", at positions 524 to 791 of the family's 1533-position model. The record is from RNAcentral.